UACGUAGGUGGCAAGCGUUAUCCGGAUUUAUUGGGCGUAAAGCGAGCGCAGGCGGUUUGAUAAGUCUGAUGUGAAAGCCUUUGGCUUAACCAAAGAAGUGCAUCGGAAACUGUCAGACUUGAGUGCAGAAGAGGACAGUGGAACUCCAUGUGUAGCGGUGGAAUGCGUAGAUAUAUGGAAGAACACCAGUGGCGAAGGCGACUGUCUGGUCUGCAACUGACGCUGAGGCUCGAAAGCAUGGGUAGCGAACAGG
This 253-nucleotide ribosomal RNA is filed under the name Limosilactobacillus mucosae. RNAcentral's name for it is "partial 16S ribosomal RNA". It matches the Rfam family "Bacterial small subunit ribosomal RNA", at positions 524 to 776 of the family's 1533-position model. The record is from RNAcentral. Lineage: Bacteria; Bacillati; Bacillota; Bacilli; Lactobacillales; Lactobacillaceae.